GACGAACGCUGGCGGCGUGCUUAACACAUGCAAGUCGAACGGAAAGGCCCCUUUGGGGGUACUCGAGUGGCGAACGGGUGAGUAACACGUGAGUAACCUGCCCUUGACUUCGGGAUAACUUCAGGAAACUGGGGCUAAUACCGGAUAGGAAUCCUUGCUGCAUGGUGGGGGUUGGAAAGCUUCGGCGGUUUUGGAUGGCUUCGCGGCUUAUCAGCUUGUUGGUGGGGUAGUGGCUUACCAAGGCUUUGACGGGUAGCCGGCCUGAGAGGGCGACCGGCCACAUUGGGACUGAGAUACGGCCCAGACUCCUACGGGAGGCAGCAGUGGGGAAUAUUGCACAAUGGGCGGAAGCCUGAUGCAGCAACGCCGCGUGCGGGAUGACGGCCUUCGGGUUGUAAACCGCUUUCAGCAGGGGCGAAGCUUGUGGUGACGGUACCUGCAGAAGAAGCACCGGCUAACUACGUG
This 465-nucleotide ribosomal RNA is filed under the name uncultured bacterium. RNAcentral describes it as "partial 16S ribosomal RNA". It matches the Rfam family "Bacterial small subunit ribosomal RNA", at positions 28 to 507 of the family's 1533-position model. The record is from RNAcentral.